RNAcentral lists this ribosomal RNA (253 nucleotides) under uncultured bacterium. Its description in RNAcentral is "partial 16S ribosomal RNA". It matches the Rfam family "Bacterial small subunit ribosomal RNA", at positions 524 to 776 of the family's 1533-position model. The record is from RNAcentral.
UACGUAGGGUGCAAGCGUUGUCCGGAAUUAUUGGGCGUAAAGAGCUUGUAGGCGGUUUGUCGCGUCUGCUGUGAAAUUUCGGGGCUCAACCCCGAACUUGCAGUGGGUACGGGCAGACUAGAGUGUGGUAGGGGAGACUGGAAUUCCUGGUGUAGCGGUGAAAUGCGCAGAUAUCAGGAGGAACACCGAUGGCGAAGGCGGGUCUCUGGGCCGUAACUGACGCUGAGGAGCGAAAGCAUGGGGAGCGAACAGG